AUUGAACGCUGGCGGCAUGCCUUACACAUGCAAGUCGAACGGCAGCACGGGUGCUUGCACCUGGUGGCGAGUGGCGAACGGGUGAGUAAUACAUCGGAACGUACCUUAUCGCGGGGGAUAACGCAGCGAAAGCUGUGCUAAUACCGCAUACGCCCUGAGGGGGAAAGCGGGGGAUCGCAAGACCUCGCGCGAUUAGAGCGGCCGAUGCCUGAUUAGCUUGUUGGUGGGGUAAAAGCCCACCAAGGCGACGAUCAGUAGCUGGUCUGAGAGGACGAUCAGCCACACUGGGACUGAGACACGGCCCAGACUCCUACGGGAGGCAGCAGUGGGGAAUUUUGGACAAUGGGGGCAACCCUGAUCCAGCAGUGCCGCGUGAGUGAAGAAGGCCUUCGGGUUGUAAAGCUCUUUUGUCAGGGAAGAAACACCGGCUCUAACACAGUCCGGGAAUGACGGUACCUGAAGAAUAAGCACCGGCUAACUACGUGCCAGCCGCCGCCGUAA
This 501-nucleotide ribosomal RNA is filed under the name uncultured bacterium. RNAcentral describes it as "partial 16S ribosomal RNA". It matches the Rfam family "Bacterial small subunit ribosomal RNA", at positions 29 to 523 of the family's 1533-position model. The record is from RNAcentral.